GCCAGAGGGUGCCAGCGUUGUUCGGAAUUACUGGGCGUAAAGCGCGUGUAGGCGGCUUGAGCAAGUCGGGUGUGAAAGCCCCAGGCUCAACCUGGGAAGUGCAUUCGAUACUGCGGAGCUGGAGUCCCGGAGAGGGUGGUGGAACUCUCGGUGUAGAGGUGAAAUUCGUAGAGAUCGAGAAGAACACCGGUGGCGAAGGCGGCCACCUGGACGGAGACUGACGCUGAGACGCGAAAGCGUGGGGAGAAAACAGG
RNAcentral lists this ribosomal RNA (254 nucleotides) under uncultured bacterium. RNAcentral's name for it is "partial 16S ribosomal RNA". It matches the Rfam family "Bacterial small subunit ribosomal RNA", at positions 524 to 776 of the family's 1533-position model. The record is from RNAcentral.